UGGCGGGCAGCUUCCCGGAAACGAAAGUUUUUCGGUUCCGGGGGAAGUAUGGUUGCAAAGCUGAAACUUAAAGAAAUUGACGGAAGGGCACCACCAGGAGUGGAGCCUGCGGCUUAAUUUGACUCAACACGGGAAAACUCACCUGGCCCGGACACCGUGAGGAUUGACAGAUUGAGAGCUCUUUCUUGAUUCGGUGGUUGGUGGUGCAUGGCCGUUCUUAGUUGGUGGAGUGAUUUGUCUGGUUUAUUCCGAUAACGAGCGAGACUCUAGCCUACUAAAUAGUUACUGGAUAAUUGCGUCCAGAAGACUUCUUAGAGGGACAAGCGGUGUUCAGCCGCACGAAGCUGAGCAAUAACAGGUCUGUGAUGCCCUUAGAUGUCCAGGGCUGCACGCGCGCUACACUGGAGGAAUCAGCGUGCUGUAACCAUUGCCGAAAGGCAUUGGUAACCCCUUGAAAAUCCUCCGUGAUCGGGAUCGGGAAUUGCAAUUAUUUCCCUUGAACGAGGAAUUCCUAGUAAGUGUGAGUCAUCAGCUCACGUUGAUUACGUCCCUGCCCUUUGUACACACCGCCCGUCGCUGCCCGGGACUGAGCCGUUUCGAGAAAUGCGGGGACUGCUGUUUCGAUACCUUUCGGGGUGGAGAUUCUUUGGUGGAAACCGCCUUUAUCGCAGUGGCUUGAACCGGGCAA
This 688-nucleotide ribosomal RNA is filed under the name uncultured eukaryote. RNAcentral describes it as "SSU rRNA". It matches the Rfam family "Eukaryotic small subunit ribosomal RNA", at positions 1077 to 1785 of the family's 1831-position model. The record is from RNAcentral.